This is a long non-coding RNA of Lampris incognitus (smalleye Pacific opah), 532 nucleotides long. RefSeq lists it as uncharacterized. NCBI's taxonomy places the organism in Eukaryota, Metazoa, Chordata, Actinopteri, Lampriformes, Lampridae. The transcript is spliced from 5 exons. The record is from RefSeq and is a predicted model, not a curated record.
GCAAAGACGGUAUAACGCGCCAAACUCCAGCGUGUUGGAUUUGCCCGUGAUUUCCUGAGCAUUUGACUCGACUGAGACGACUUGUGUUGAAGCUGAAAGCUGGUCAGAGCCAGGCAGAGUGCUCUUGAUGGAGUUCAGCCCAAAGCCAGCAGGGGCACAUGUGGGUCCAAAGGUCAGGGGGGAAACAUCCGGAACUGCUCAGAUCUGUGAAGAAGAGCAAAUCUGGCCAGCUCUGAGACCUUUGAGGAGCUACCAAGUCCAUCUCAAUGCUGUGGUAAAGCCUGCUAUUGUGGGCUGAAUGUUAAUGCUUUAACCCACCCGACUAAGAUCAGCGCUAUGCUCUCCUCUACUCUCCCCUUUGAACCACCUCGUGGCCCAUAGCUUCCACCUACCCCACCAUCCCCACCCACCGAUGGACCAGUCUGCCCUCCAGUCAUACUUAGCAUCGGGAGCCAGAGCUGGAUGGUGUGCUGGGAGCCGGAGACGGGCGGAAAGGAAGGCGGGGGGAUGUGUUCUGCUGCUUCGUCUCUCC